This 194-nucleotide microRNA precursor is filed under the name Oryza rufipogon (brownbeard rice). Its description in RNAcentral is "MIR812 microRNA precursor family". It matches the Rfam family "MIR812 microRNA precursor family". The record is from Rfam by way of RNAcentral. Lineage: Eukaryota; Viridiplantae; Streptophyta; Magnoliopsida; Poales; Poaceae.
CAAAAGGGAAGAUGAUGAGCUCUGUGCUAUGCAUAUACUCNAAUUUUUUUAUGAUUAGUAUUUUUAUUGCUAUUAGAUGAUAAAACAUGAAUAGUACUUUAUGUGUGACUAAAUAUUUUCAAGUUUUUUUACAAAUUUUUUAAAUAAGACGGACGGUCAAACGUUGGGCACGAAUAUCCACGACUGCACUUAUU